AAACUAGGAUUAGAUACCCUAUUAUUAAGAGCUUUACAUUGUGAGUAAAUAAAAAUUAUGAAAGCAAAAAACUAUGGCGGUAUCUUAAGCUUUUCAGAUGAAUUUGCUCUUUAAUGGAUAAAACACCUUAACCUUACUUAAAUUUGUUAAUACAGUUUGUAUACCACUAUUAAAAUAAUAAUGCAAUUAUUAUUAAAAUUCAAUUUUUGAAAAAAAUUAAGUCAUGGUGCAGCAUAAGUUUAAGAAUGAAGUGAAUUACAUUACUUAAAAGGAGGGUAAAAGUUUAAAAAAAAAGUUUAGGAUUUGAAAGUAAAAUUAAAAUAGAAAGUUAAUUUGAAUUAAGCUCUAAGAUAUGUACAUAUCGCCCGUUCACUCUUCACCAAGAUAAGUCGUAACAUAGUA
RNAcentral lists this ribosomal RNA (402 nucleotides) under Rhipicentor bicornis. Its description in RNAcentral is "partial 12S ribosomal RNA". The record is from RNAcentral. Lineage: Eukaryota; Metazoa; Arthropoda; Arachnida; Ixodida; Ixodidae.